Long non-coding RNA from Saccostrea cuccullata (small rock oyster), 466 nucleotides. RefSeq lists it as uncharacterized. The transcript has 3 exons. Lineage: Eukaryota; Metazoa; Mollusca; Bivalvia; Ostreida; Ostreidae. The record is from RefSeq and is a predicted model, not a curated record.
UGUUCAUCUGUCUGUGGACAUUGUAGAAAUGGUACUUCCUGUUCAAAGACCCAUGGAAUCUGUAAACAGGGGUGUGAGCGCGGAUGGGAGGGUCCCCUCUGUUUGAACGUUACGUCGUCAGCUGUUGAGAGUGUGUUACAAGAAGAAUUAAACUUUUGGAAGACGCUAUUUGUCAUCGUUUCCAGUAUCUCGGCGUUUCUUGCUGUAACUCUUAUAAUAGUAUGCUCAAGAUUUUUUCACACCAGAAGGAAGAGACGUGUUCAAUAUAUAAACAGAAAGCCCCUAUCUAUUGUUGGAAAUGUACAUGAUUAUGAUCGAAUAAGUGCGACAGAUAAUAGAUAUACUUAUAACAAUUUUGAUUCCACAUUACAAAACUACAGACAUGCAUAUAACAGUGGUAAUUCAACAUUAAGAAGCAACAGAAAUACCUAUGAUCAAGUAGAUUCCACACUAGAAGAUCCAGACU